AGCAGCCGCGGUAAUUCCAGCUCCAAUAGCGUAUAUUAAAGUUGUUGCAGUUAAAAGCUCGUAGUUGAAUUUCGGGAUCAAUAUGUUGGUCGUGCCUUGGUACGUACUGGCGUCAUUGAUUUCUACCUUCUGAAGAACCUCGAUGUCAUUAAUUUGGUGUCUUGGGGAAUCAGGACUGUUACUUUGAAAAAAUUAGAGUGUUUUAAAGCAAGCUCACGCUUGAAUACAUUAGCAUGGAAUAAUGAAAUAGGACGUUUGAUUCUAUUUUGUUGGUUUCUAGGAUCGACGUAAUGAUUAAUAGGGAUAGUUGGGGGCAUUAGUAUUCAAUUGUCAGAGGUGAAAUUCUUGGAUUUAUUGAAGACUAACUACUGCGAAAGCAUUUGCCAAGGAUGUUUUCAUUAAUCAAGAACGAAAGUUAGGGGAUCGAAGACGAUCAGAUACCGUCGUAGUCUUAACCAUAAACUAUGCCGACUAGGGAUCGGAUGAUGUUAAUUUUUUAAUGACUUCAUUCGGACG
RNAcentral lists this unclassified non-coding RNA (516 nucleotides) under uncultured Glomus. RNAcentral describes it as "SSU rRNA". It matches the Rfam family "Eukaryotic small subunit ribosomal RNA", at positions 569 to 1086 of the family's 1831-position model. Lineage: Eukaryota; Fungi; Glomeromycota; Glomeromycetes; Glomerales; Glomeraceae. The record is from RNAcentral.